GACGAACGCUGGCGGCGUGCUUAACACAUGCAAGUCGAACGAUGAAGCUGGAGCUUGCUCCGGUGGAUUAGUGGCGAACGGGUGAGUAACACGUGAGCAAUCUGCCCUUGACUCUGGGAUAACUGCGGGAAACUGUAGCUAAUACCGGAUACGAGGCUCGAAGGCAUCUUCGGGUCUGGAAAGAAUUUCGGUCAAGGAUGAGCUCGCGGCCUAUCAGCUUGGUGGUGAGGUAAUGGCUCACCAAGGCGACGACGGGUAGCCGGCCUGAGAGGGUGACCGGCCACACUGGGACUGAGACACGGCCCAGACUCCUACGGGAGGCAGCAGUGGGGAAUAUUGCACAAUGGGCGAAAGCCUGAUGCAGCAACGCCGCGUGAGGGAUGAAGGCCUUCGGGUUGUAAACCUCUUUUAGCAGGGAAGAAGCGGAAGUGACGGUACCUGCAGAAAAAGCACCGGCUAACUACGUGCCAGCCGCCGCGGUAA
Molecule: ribosomal RNA, 483 nt
Filed under: uncultured bacterium
Lineage: Bacteria
Description: partial 16S ribosomal RNA
Rfam family: Bacterial small subunit ribosomal RNA
Source: RNAcentral